GGGGAAUUCAAAUGUUUAGAAUCCCUUCCCUAACAGUUUAAUUGGGAUUUCUUUUUUUGAUUGUAGGUAAGCUACCUCUUUGUUAGCGCAGCACCCUUUCCACCGCCCUUUCAAUUCAACAGGAACCAACCUGCAUUUUUUCUUUGGUGUAGAUCCUUUAUUGUCCUUUAUUGAGCUAUUGGCUCAGUAGCAAAAUGAAUAGAAGUUCUCGAUUCAGCUUCCGACCUCAGGAAAAAAAAACCUCUUCAUGCUCUUCCUUCUAUCUCCUAAAAAAGAGUGCAGUUCCACCCGCGUUUGAAGGCGAGUUAUUUGGAGCUUCAUUCUCGCAUCUCACAUAUUGGAAAAGGUAAACUUAAAAUAAAAGAAAAGGGCAACUCAGUCAAUAGACAAAGAAAAAAAGAAUAUGUUACCAAAAAAACAAUCCAAUGUUUGUCUUUCUAAGGAUUGAUUUUCCUUGUCGUAGUUCAUAUUCAUAUUAAAAAAGAAGAAGGCAGAGGUAAACUCCCCAACUCGAUCAAUGGGUGCUCAUUGGUCUUCUUGAGACUCCCCAACUGCCGCAGCUUUCGAUUGGGGGAGCCUCGAGCAUCCAGUAUAUGACAUUAAGGAGUAUUCCCCAAUGGAGUAGUCAACUCAUAGAACAAGCAUGUAAGCGAAGCAAGAAAAAGGCUUUCCAUUUUUUUUUUUAGAUUUUUUUUUCUGGUCAACGGUACACACUUCUCUUUUUUUAAUUUUUUUAUUCCAUUCCCGGUGAUCCUGUCACGCUAAACACAAAUCUUUCUUUUCAUUUUAUAUAUCCCAUGGGCGUAUAGACGAAAUAGAAAUUUGAACUAAGUAGGUUUCGAAAUGAAAUAGCCCAUUAAGUAGAGGAGUCAACGGCGCGCACACGCAGUACAUGUGGCUCUUUGAAUAAAAACUGUUGCUCUUGUUGGUAUACAGGCCGGCUAAUAUAAUAGUAUGGGAAAUAUGGGAAAGAGGAGUAGACAAUCUGGGAGGUACAGGCCCGGCCCGGCGCACGAAGCAGGAGGAAAUCGGUACCCCGCGAGGCUGGCGAAGUCGGCACAAGAAGUAGGCGGAGUAGAGGCAGUUCAAUAGCAGUUGUAGGGCACAGCACAGUAGUUGCUGUUCUCUUCUCUGUUGCAUAGGCAUAGAUGGGGUAGGCAACUCAAGCAAGACAGAACUACAGAACUAACUAAGCAGUAGCCACCUGAAGACAGAAGAGCACCUGAAUAAAGAGCCAACCACCAACCAAUCGCCCUGUAGUUUUCUUCGCUGGAGCGCAGGUUUGGAACCCUAUUUUACUAAUAAUAAGAAAGGGGCUUGUUGAAGCUAUGAAGCAUCUUAGAGUAUUCCAUUCCGUUUUUCAGCUGGAUCCGGGCCUUGCUAUUGUUCGGCCUGAAAAAACUGUAUUUAAUUUAGUAGACAGAGAGGGGCUUUUUUCGAAAGGCUAUCAACGUAUACGUAUAUAGAUAGAGUGAGUGUGCGUGCAGGGUGUAGGUGUACCACUUACGAGAAAGAACCCCAAGUCAGUAAAGUAGUUAACCAAACACAAGUAAGUAGUUCGUCAGUCCUUCCUCCGACGCCUCCCGUUCAUUCUUCUUCAUUUCAUCAUGUUUGUUGUGUUGUUCCGUUUAUAGGUCCCAAGCCCUUCUUAGAAAGCCCUCCUCCCUCUCCUUAAGUAAAAAAAAAAGAAGAAUGCUGCUUUUUUUUCGAACAUUGUAAGAACCUUUCUAACUGACACUCCAGUCAUAAUGCCACCCACGUCUUUUUUUUUUCUUUUGAACAAAGAGGCAAACGCCUGAAUAAUCCUAAUUUUUUGUCCUUUUGAUUUGAGUCCAUAAUGACUGGCAGGUUUCAUUAAUGAAAAGAAAAGCGGAGGCCCGCCAUCUGCUAGCAUUGUGGUUUGAAAUCGAUUCUUUAUCAAUGGCCCACCCUUUCUUUGAACCUUGUCAAUGAUCGAACUUAAAGAUAUAAACUGAGUGCCAUUUGAUGAGUAACUGAGAACAAGGGAGAGGGAUAUAGAAAGGAUAAAGUAAUGAAAGAGGAAGUCAUUGCUAGUAGUAACGACUUGUUACGAUCCAUUGGUUCAUAUAGAAUCCAUGUCCUAGGUGUAUCAAAAAACAUUCUUUUCACUAAGCGUAUAUAAUAAAAUAGAGUGAAAGAGUCCACCCCGAAACCAAGGGGGUACUAACUAACAGCUGAGUCCUCUCCGAACCGCAAGAGAUAGUUGCCCAUCAUACGGCUCACCAACUUCACUUGCCUCUAUGGGGGGCUCGCUCCGGGCAGGUUCGGAUCACUUACAAUACACAGCUCUACGAAGGAAGGGGUUGGGUUAGGAACGUUUUCAAUAUGAUUUUUUUUUCCCGUAUUUGUUCUAUGAAAAAAUGCGAGACGAAAAAGGAACCCAUCUUUUCGACCGGGAAAUGCGAGUCUGUUUUGUCAACUUUCUCCAUCCCCCUCUAUCAAAAUGAUCAAAAAGGAACGUAGUCUUUCUUAUUCCCGUGUUCGAUCUCUUCCAUCUCUGCCUCGCUCCUUGUCACCUAUGUUGAAGAACCUGUAGAGAAUGAAGAGGAGCCAAGGAUCUUCCUCUCAACAGUGCUUCUCGAGGCUCCACUCUCCCCCCUGAAUAAGUAAGGCCUCCUUAGCCUGGGGGGGAUAAGGAAUAAGGAUUGAAGCCCCUUAGCUCUGCCAGGCACUGGACAGGGGUUAGCUCUGUAAAUGUGUAGAGCCAAGUGUAGUGUGGUAUAGUAGUAGGCACUUCUAGGCCCCUUCCCGGCUACUGGAUCACUCCAGUGCUUUGGGUACUACGGACCCUCUGCCAUCCAUUGCAGCAGAGCCGUUUCAUGAGCGGGGGGGCUAAGCGCAGUUCUUUGAAUCAAACGGUGAAUGAAAUCGAUUUUUUUUUUAGAUAUUCAAAUAUAAAUCGGAUAGGAUAGAUGGAUGGAUCUAUCUUUCUAUUCAUAUAUAUUACUAAAAAAAAAUGGAUUUAUAUAGUUAAGUAGCGUAGCAAGAAGCCCCAAAUCCUUGAUUUGACCAGGAAAGACUGCACUGCUUUGGGCCCAGGAAGCGAAGGGAAUGAGCUCGGCUGCUUCUCCUCCACACUUAUUUUUCUCCGUGCCCGUUCCGCAUGCGCUUCGCGCGCCAUUGGCGCUUUGUUCUCCUCUUAUUCUUCAUUGGACGGUCCGGAUGGACUUCGCCGUUCUUUCCCAACUAAAAUAGAAAAGGUAUUUUCAAAUCGAGAUGUCGAUUCGUUUUCCGCCCCCAAUGAGAUGGGGAAUUUGUAACCCCCUUUUUAUACUUUUCUAAUUUUUGGCCCUUCAUCUUUCUGAAUCGAGGCCCAGCCUGGCUCGCGUCGUUCCAACAACCGGCGGGGAGCAUCUCAGUAUACGAUCGCGCGCAGUAACUGGGAGUCCUAUUACACCUAAGGCCAACUUCAAUUCACCAAACCAAGGUUCAUCUCGUGUAGUGAUUGUGGACUCGUACAAGGAUAUUGAGUAGACGUUUGAUGUAUCAGACUCAACCCUAUCUUUCGUAGCAUGCAUUCCCAUCCGUGUCGCAACUGAUUCGGUAAGCUACGUGUCCGGUGCACGGAGAACUGCCUUCGGUCCCCCAAACUGACUUACUCGUGGCAACCUUCCGGCCGCCCAACAACCUAUAACGCUAGUCACUACUCCCACUGAGGCUAGGAAGUAAGCCCCACAACCCAAAGCGGCGAAGAACAAAUAGAAUUUGCUACAAAAGCCGGCUAACGGGGGUAUUCCUGCGUAUGAGAACAUAGUAAUGGAGAAGGUAAUAGCCAAAAUAGGAUUCGUUUUGGCUAGAGCGCCCAAAUCCGCUAUAUAUUUGACACGGGUUUGCCGUAAUGCUAAAACUAUGGCGAAUGCAUCUAUCGUCAUUAAUGCAUAAAUAAAGAUACCAAUUAGUAGUGAUUGAAUUCCUUCUAUGGUUCCACAUGAGAACCCAAUACAAAUAUAACCUACAUGUCCAAUUGAACUAUAAGCUAGAAGUCUUUUUACUUUCGUUUGGGCCAUGGCGGCCAGUGCUCCUAAGAUCAUAGAAGCAAUGCUGCAGAAAAAGAAGAUUUGUUGCAAUGUAGCUCCAUAGGAACCAUAAAUAAAAACACGUAAAAUAUUAGCAAAAAUAGAGAUUUUAGGCGCAAUAGAAAGGAAUGCUGUAACGGGGGUGGGUGAACCCUCAUAGAUAUCAGGUGCCCACAUAUAUAGAGUCAAAAGAGAUAUGGAGUCCGAAGGGGAGGGGGGUUUUCUUCGGGGCUCGAGAGAUGGAAUAGAUAGGGCCCCACAAGUUUUGAAUUCGCCGCUGGGGAAUUCACACGAAAGGGAACGAGGAAUUUUCAACGAAAAAAGUGCUCUCUGAACCGAACGUGAAAGUAGUUUUCCAUCAGACGGCUGUUCCCGUAACUCCACUCUCGACUUGGAUUAUAUAUCCAAAAAGGUCCGCUCUCGGCCAUUCCACACGCUGCCUAGCGGAGGCGUGGUUAUCUGAAGUGGAUUCUCUCUUUUCUAGUAGAUGCCGAACCUGCUGCCCCAUUGACUAAGAAGGGGGCGGGCGCAGCAGCUACAUGGACCCCUUCCUUUCUGUUGUUGCCAGCGCUUUCCCGGGCCGAGCCGGAAUUCCUUAUUAUAAAGGGCAGGCAAAGCCCGAAGGCUGCUAUCCCAAUAGGCCAGCGAGGAGAGGGUCCGGCAAACCAUCGCGGUCGAAAAAGCGUGUUCCCUUCAGAUAACACGCACCGUAGACCAUCCUCGGCCUUCUUCGUUUUCGAUGAAAAACAAAUCAAAUCUCGAUCUCCGAAAGCGUUUUCCUUCCCCCGCCUCCCCUCCUUCGUCGAGCCUUUCCUUUAAUGGUUGGGGGAAGCAUUCCCUUAUCUGAACUUGGCGGGCAUUCUUUCCAGCCUUAUUCAAAUAGGGGGGGGUGCUUUUGAAUAUAGGCUCAAACAUGAUUUGAAGGUCCUAGCUACGCCAUGCGUUCAAUACAAAAUCUGGAAAGCUGCAAGGAUGACAAAAAGAGGGCGCUUUCCUGUGUUGCACUGAAAAAAGAAGGACCUAAGAGAAAACACUCUUCUCUUAGGUUUCUUCCUCCCGCGCCCGCCGCCGCCCGGCCCGCGUUAGAGGGGAAAAUUAGCAAAGCGAGAAAAGACAGAGGGAGGGAGAGCAGCAUCUUAUUCUUUUCGCGAGAACUUCCAGAUCAGAAAAGCAUUCGGAACGGGCUCCGCGUUCAUUUCGUUGGCAGAAACGAUCCAAUCCAUUCGGGGCUUCGGGGAACCAAAAAAAAAGUCUUUCGACUUGAUUCAUAGAUAGAAUCAAUGAUAGAUAGACAAAAGAUAGAUGAACGAGAUAUCUUUUUUUUUCUCUAAAAAAAAAGAGGAAUAGAAUAGACAUCCCUUUAGAUGUCUAUGUAUCCUUUAUCAUCUUCCGAUUUUUUUUUAUAUCGUUAUAUCUGCUCUCUCUAAAAAAAAUUGAGAGAGAAAGAGCAGUUCCUCUGGAACCUAUAUCGAACAUCAAUUCCUAUCUAUUGAUAGGAAGAUCUUCGUCAAAUACCCGACUUUGCCUUUUUUUUUAGGAAUUCCUCAUAUCCAAGGCAGCUUACCACAAGCACCUCACCCCAUACGACUAGUUGGGGGGGCUGUUCGCCUUUUGAAUCAAACAAAGUAAUAGGGGCUUCAUAGCUACUUUCAUUCUAAAGGAAACCGAAGAACCAACCUUUAGUCAAUAGGAGCCCUACUUCCCUCU
RNAcentral lists this unclassified non-coding RNA (5744 nucleotides) under Hevea brasiliensis (rubber tree). Lineage: Eukaryota; Viridiplantae; Streptophyta; Magnoliopsida; Malpighiales; Euphorbiaceae. The record is from RNAcentral.